UUGGGCACUCUAGCGAGACUGCCGGUAAUAAACCGGAGGAAGGUGGGGGAUGACGUCAAAUCAUCAUGCCCCUUAUGACCUGGGCUACACACGUGCUACAAUGGUUGGUACAACGAGUUGCGAGUCGGUGACGGCGAGCUAAUCUCUUAAAGCCAAUCUCAGUUUCGGAUUGUAGGCUGCAACUCGCCUACAUGAAGUCGGAAUCGCUAGUAAUCGCGGAUCAGCACGCCGGCGGUGAAUUACCGGUUCCCGGGCCUU
RNAcentral lists this ribosomal RNA (258 nucleotides) under uncultured Streptococcus sp. RNAcentral's name for it is "partial 16S ribosomal RNA". It matches the Rfam family "Bacterial small subunit ribosomal RNA", at positions 1131 to 1382 of the family's 1533-position model. Lineage: Bacteria; Bacillati; Bacillota; Bacilli; Lactobacillales; Streptococcaceae. The record is from RNAcentral.